AGAAGAUUAGCUUAUUUCUUCGACAAAACAUGUAUAUGUAUCAACUAUUAAAAGUUUAAGAAAAAACUGGACAGACUUUGGUGACCUUAAGAAAUAGAAUAAGACAGAUGAAAAAAAAAUAGAAAUGUUGAUGGCUUUAAGAAAUGAUAUUAGGCAGAAGAAAAGGAAAACAAAUUCGAUUCGAAUUGAUUGAAUUAGAAUAACUUACG
RNAcentral lists this long non-coding RNA (209 nucleotides) under Mytilus galloprovincialis (Mediterranean mussel). Lineage: Eukaryota; Metazoa; Mollusca; Bivalvia; Mytilida; Mytilidae. The record is from RNAcentral.